UGUGCCGUGGCUUAGUGGUCAGAGUAUCUGCCUAGCAAGCAGGAGACCCUGGUUCGAAUACCAGUCCGGCACAA
Non-coding RNA from Schistocerca cancellata (South American locust), 74 nucleotides. The record is from the annotation of a RefSeq genome assembly. NCBI's taxonomy places the organism in Eukaryota, Metazoa, Arthropoda, Insecta, Orthoptera, Acrididae.